Diceros bicornis minor is the source of this 858-nucleotide long non-coding RNA. RefSeq lists it as uncharacterized. The record is from RefSeq and is a predicted model, not a curated record. The transcript is spliced from 3 exons. Lineage: Eukaryota; Metazoa; Chordata; Mammalia; Perissodactyla; Rhinocerotidae.
ACUCCGGGGCUCUGGGCGGAAGGUUCUACUCCCUCCCGGCCCCUGCUCUGUGCCCCCGGCGCCCAGCCUCCCGCGCCCGAGGAAGAAGGCGCUGCGGUCCCAGCAGGCGAAAGGAUCGAAAAGGAAGAAUGCUCGCGAACUGCGGUCCCACCUCCAGACCCCUAGUAUGGGAUUCUAGGCUGCACUCUCCACACCCUCGUGGGGCUCCUUUGAGAUACUUGGCUUCUCUGAGGCCCUAGACCGCUCAUACCUCCAUCCUGGUCUCCAGGGGCGCCCGCGCUGAGCCCAGCAGCGUCCCGCAGGGCCUGGGCAGCAGGGAGGACAGAGUCCCCGGACCGCUCCUCCGGCUGGACUCUUCUCAAGACUGCGGCUGGGGGGGAGGAGGCGGCCGACCCCCUUGCGGAGACAGACACACCCUGAAGCUGAAUGACCCGGGUCCCCAACUUCCACUCGGCACCAGCUAGAACUCUUCCCUUUCAGAUCGAGGGUGCUCCACCGUCUUCCUCGGCCCUUCUUUUAACUCUCUUCCCCUGGGGGUUCCCGGAACCCUUGCCCUCAAGCCUCCCAGGCCCUGGGGAUCUUGGAAAACUUCCCAACCUCUCUGUUCAGGUGACCCUCCGCUUGCCCCCAUUCCAGGAGGAGCUCACUUAGGGGAGAGUCAGUUCUCUUCUCGCCAUUCCCAGCUCCUCCUCAGGCUGGACUUAACCUGGCAAGUGCUUUGGGAGGACACCUCCUCCCCUCUGUCUGUGGUCCAGUCCAAUUGGUCCAAGGAUCCCCUACUACCCACCUACCCACAAGUUACUCAGCUUCAACAAUUCAAAGGAGAUAAAGAGGUUGUGUGUGUGUUUUUGAAAUGUG